GCCAGGUGGAACUUGAUGACACAUGAUCCCACACAAGAAUACACCGAACUGAGUCUUACUGAGGAUCCAUGCUGGAGUGGACUGGAGCUGAUGUCAGGAGCCUUUAAAGACAUACUCUGCUGUCUGAUAGCCUGUGCUGUCUCCAGAGCGUGACUUGCUACCUUUACCCUGGUCCAACGCAUACAACAUAACUUCUGUUCCUGGUCACUGAUCUCCGGGUUUCUGAGAUUCCAGAGUGAUAUGCCUUGGUGUCUCUUUCUUUAUGCUUCGUGUGUCUGAGCUUCAGUGAACUUCUAAGAACUAAGGCUUGUCCAGGAGCACUGACCAGCUAAGCUCCUAGUUGCCACCAAGAAUAGCUGUUCAAACAGUCAUCCUUCAGGCACAGGAAAGCUUUAGUAAGGAGAAAGAAGAGUGUGCCUCUAUCCAUGGCUGGUGCAUCUCCAAAUGAUUUCAAUUUAUGAUGCUAUUUUAAUACAGAAAAAUAAACGAAAACACAAGCACAUUUGACAUUUGAAAUUAUGCUGAUUGGCUGGCAUAUUUUAAAACACAUCAAAUAAAGACAGGCAUCAAUGUUUG
This 576-nucleotide long non-coding RNA is filed under the name Mus spretus (western wild mouse). RNAcentral's name for it is "expressed sequence AU016765 (ENSMSPG00010005913.1)". The record is from RNAcentral. Lineage: Eukaryota; Metazoa; Chordata; Mammalia; Rodentia; Muridae.